AAGCUCCCAGAAGUCACUUAUAUAUAACAAAGUAUUAUCAAGCUAGAAACAUGUAUAAUUGCAGUUUCCUGUCAAUGCAUUCUGUGAAAGAAAUAUACAAAGUUACAACAAGAGUCAAACCUACCUAGCCUUGAGCCCAACUUCUGAAUGUGAAUAAUGUUGU
Hibiscus syriacus is the source of this 163-nucleotide long non-coding RNA. RefSeq lists it as uncharacterized. NCBI's taxonomy places the organism in Eukaryota, Viridiplantae, Streptophyta, Magnoliopsida, Malvales, Malvaceae. The record is from RefSeq and is a predicted model, not a curated record. The transcript is spliced from 3 exons.